RNAcentral lists this unclassified non-coding RNA (242 nucleotides) under Hevea brasiliensis (rubber tree). Lineage: Eukaryota; Viridiplantae; Streptophyta; Magnoliopsida; Malpighiales; Euphorbiaceae. The record is from RNAcentral.
GCUGAUCCACAUGAUAUUCAAAUAAGAGGAGUCAACCGUGAUGAGAGGAGCAUACAGAUGGCCAAACAGUAUCCGAACUCCCGGCAUUUCUUGACAUAUAGACAUUCACUAAGGAGCUAUGCAUCAAUUCUAUACUUAAGAGUUGCUCCUGGCUUUCGGAUUAUUCUGCGGGGUAAAGACGUUGAGCACCAUAACAUAGUAAAUGAUAUGAUGAUGACCCAAGAGGUCACGUAUCGCCCUAU